RNAcentral lists this ribosomal RNA (430 nucleotides) under uncultured archaeon. Its description in RNAcentral is "bacterial SSU rRNA". It matches the Rfam family "Archaeal small subunit ribosomal RNA", at positions 474 to 903 of the family's 1478-position model. The record is from RNAcentral.
UACCAGCUCCCCGAGUGGUUAGGAUGUUUAUUGGGCCUAAAGCAUCCGUAGCCGGUCUUGUAGGUCUCCUGUUAAAUCCACCAGCUCAACUGUUGGGCCGCAGAAGAUACCGCAAGACUAGGAGGCGGGAGAGGUGGACGGUACUUUAUGGGUAGGGGUAAAAUCUUUUGAUCCGUAGAAGACCACCAGUGGCGAAGGCGGUCCACCAGAACGCGCUCGACGGUGAGGGAUGAAAGCUGGGGGAGCGAACCGGAUUAGAUACCCGGGUAGUCCCAGCUGUAAACGAUGCGAGCUAGGUGAUGGGGUGGCUACGAGCCAUCCCAGUGCCCCAGGGAAGCCGUUAAGCUCGCCGCCUGGGAAGUACGACCGCAAGGUUGAAACUUAAAGGAAUUGGCGGGGGAGCACCACGAAGGGGUGAAGCCUGCGGUUC